Molecule: ribosomal RNA, 2930 nt
Filed under: Escherichia coli
Lineage: Bacteria; Pseudomonadati; Pseudomonadota; Gammaproteobacteria; Enterobacterales; Enterobacteriaceae
Also listed under: 1 other name
Description: 23S ribosomal RNA
Rfam family: Bacterial large subunit ribosomal RNA
Source: RNAcentral
GGGUUGUGAGGUUAAGCGACUAAGCGUACACGGUGGAUGCCCUGGCAGUCAGAGGCGAUGAAGGACGUGCUAAUCUGCGAUAAGCGUCGGUAAGGUGAUAUGAACCGUUAUAACCGGCGAUUUCCGAAUGGGGAAACCCAGUGUGUUUCGACACACUAUCAUUAACUGAAUCCAUAGGUUAAUGAGGCGAACCGGGGGAACUGAAACAUCUAAGUACCCCGAGGAAAAGAAAUCAACCGAGAUUCCCCCAGUAGCGGCGAGCGAACGGGGAGCAGCCCAGAGCCUGAAUCAGUGUGUGUGUUAGUGGAAGCGUCUGGAAAGGCGCGCGAUACAGGGUGACAGCCCCGUACACAAAAAUGCACAUGCUGUGAGCUCGAUGAGUAGGGCGGGACACGUGGUAUCCUGUCUGAAUAUGGGGGGACCAUCCUCCAAGGCUAAAUACUCCUGACUGACCGAUAGUGAACCAGUACCGUGAGGGAAAGGCGAAAAGAACCCCGGCGAGGGGAGUGAAAAAGAACCUGAAACCGUGUACGUACAAGCAGUGGGAGCACGCUUAGGCGUGUGACUGCGUACCUUUUGUAUAAUGGGUCAGCGACUUAUAUUCUGUAGCAAGGUUAACCGAAUAGGGGAGCCGAAGGGAAACCGAGUCUUAACUGGGCGUUAAGUUGCAGGGUAUAGACCCGAAACCCGGUGAUCUAGCCAUGGGCAGGUUGAAGGUUGGGUAACACUAACUGGAGGACCGAACCGACUAAUGUUGAAAAAUUAGCGGAUGACUUGUGGCUGGGGGUGAAAGGCCAAUCAAACCGGGAGAUAGCUGGUUCUCCCCGAAAGCUAUUUAGGUAGCGCCUCGUGAAUUCAUCUCCGGGGGUAGAGCACUGUUUCGGCAAGGGGGUCAUCCCGACUUACCAACCCGAUGCAAACUGCGAAUACCGGAGAAUGUUAUCACGGGAGACACACGGCGGGUGCUAACGUCCGUCGUGAAGAGGGAAACAACCCAGACCGCCAGCUAAGGUCCCAAAGUCAUGGUUAAGUGGGAAACGAUGUGGGAAGGCCCAGACAGCCAGGAUGUUGGCUUAGAAGCAGCCAUCAUUUAAAGAAAGCGUAAUAGCUCACUGGUCGAGUCGGCCUGCGCGGAAGAUGUAACGGGGCUAAACCAUGCACCGAAGCUGCGGCAGCGACGCUUAUGCGUUGUUGGGUAGGGGAGCGUUCUGUAAGCCUGUGAAGGUGUGCUGUGAGGCAUGCUGGAGGUAUCAGAAGUGCGAAUGCUGACAUAAGUAACGAUAAAGCGGGUGAAAAGCCCGCUCGCCGGAAGACCAAGGGUUCCUGUCCAACGUUAAUCGGGGCAGGGUGAGUCGACCCCUAAGGCGAGGCCGAAAGGCGUAGUCGAUGGGAAACAGGUUAAUAUUCCUGUACUUGGUGUUACUGCGAAGGGGGGACGGAGAAGGCUAUGUUGACCGGGCGACGGUUGUCCCGGUUUAAGCGUGUAGGCUGGUUUUCCAGGCAAAUCCGGAAAAUCAAGGCUGAGGCGUGAUGACGAGGCACUACGGUGCUGAAGCAACAAAUGCCCUGCUUCCAGGAAAAGCCUCUAAGCAUCAGGUAACAUCAAAUCGUACCCCAAACCGACACAGGUGGUCAGGUAGAGAAUACCAAGGCGCUUGAGAGAACUCGGGUGAAGGAACUAGGCAAAAUGGUGCCGUAACUUCGGGAGAAGGCACGCUGAUAUGUAGGUGAAGUCCCUCGCGGAUGGAGCUGAAAUCAGUCGAAGAUACCAGCUGGCUGCAACUGUUUAUUAAAAACACAGCACUGUGCAAACACGAAAGUGGACGUAUACGGUGUGACGCCUGCCCGGUGCCGGAAGGUUAAUUGAUGGGGUCAGCGCAAGCGAAGCUCUUGAUCGAAGCCCCGGUAAACGGCGGCCGUAACUAUAACGGUCCUAAGGUAGCGAAAUUCCUUGUCGGGUAAGUUCCGACCUGCACGAAUGGCGUAAUGAUGGCCAGGCUGUCUCCACCCGAGACUCAGUGAAAUUGAACUCGCUGUGAAGAUGCAGUGUACCCGCGGCAAGACGGAAAGACCCCGUGAACCUUUACUAUAGCUUGACACUGAACAUUGAGCCUUGAUGUGUAGGAUAGGUGGGAGGCUUAGAAGUGUGGACGCCAGUCUGCAUGGAGCCGACCUUGAAAUACCACCCUUUAAUGUUUGAUGUUCUAACGUUGACCCGUAAUCCGGGUUGCGGACAGUGUCUGGUGGGUAGUUUGACUGGGGCGGUCUCCUCCUAAAGAGUAACGGAGGAGCACGAAGGUUGGCUAAUCCUGGUCGGACAUCAGGAGGUUAGUGCAAUGGCAUAAGCCAGCUUGACUGCGAGCGUGACGGCGCGAGCAGGUGCGAAAGCAGGUCAUAGUGAUCCGGUGGUUCUGAAUGGAAGGGCCAUCGCUCAACGGAUAAAAGGUACUCCGGGGAUAACAGGCUGAUACCGCCCAAGAGUUCAUAUCGACGGCGGUGUUUGGCACCUCGAUGUCGGCUCAUCACAUCCUGGGGCUGAAGUAGGUCCCAAGGGUAUGGCUGUUCGCCAUUUAAAGUGGUACGCGAGCUGGGUUUAGAACGUCGUGAGACAGUUCGGUCCCUAUCUGCCGUGGGCGCUGGAGAACUGAGGGGGGCUGCUCCUAGUACGAGAGGACCGGAGUGGACGCAUCACUGGUGUUCGGGUUGUCAUGCCAAUGGCACUGCCCGGUAGCUAAAUGCGGAAGAGAUAAGUGCUGAAAGCAUCUAAGCACGAAACUUGCCCCGAGAUGAGUUCUCCCUGACCCUUUAAGGGUCCUGAAGGAACGUUGAAGACGACGACGUUGAUAGGCCGGGUGUGUAAGCGCAGCGAUGCGUUGAGCUAACCGGUACUAAUGAACCGUGAGGCUUAACCUUACAACGCCGAAGCUGUU